UUACAUAACUUGUGUUUGCCCAAUUCCAUGGUGUAGUACCAUAACUUCUCAGUGCAGUGCAGACAACACAUGGAUUCCAUUUUUUGAUUAAAGUAUCAUCUGCUACAAAUAUGAAUCAUGGCUUAGUUUGUAGACUUCAUAAAGAAACACACAGAUUAAUCAAACCAGUCUUCGAAGAGUCUCUGUGGAUAGGAACGUUCCAAAGCAAAGUAAGAUGCAAGUUGUAUUGCAUAAAAACCAGGUACACAUCAAUCAGCUGCAUUCUGGAAGACUAAACUGCAACACAACUACAUCUGCAAUCACAGAGAAAUCAGGUAUACGACCAAUUGUUAUCUAUUGUAAAUAUUUUGUUUUUUAGGUCAACAACGGAGAGGGUCAAGCGAUCCCCACGUACAGAUGCCAGCAUGGUCUUUUACAUGGUUCCAAGAGGAGGUAAAUCGAGUGUAGCCCUAAAAAGAUCUGCCUUGUGCCACUUCAACACUUUAACCCAGAUGCAAUAAAAAAACACUUUAACCCAGAUGCUGCAUUGUGGUGUGGCAAAGGCUUGAGAAUAUGACAAUAACAGCUGCUCAAAAACUGUUGGUAGGAACAUUUAUAGCAGCAAAAGAACAAAAUGGAAUGUGUGGUUUCUUAUCUGCCUUAGAUGAGAUAAGAUUUCGGACAUGUGUAUUCAUGUUUUCGAGUGAUUUGGCACUAUGAAUGCGCUAGAUGGUUGGUUGCUUUUUUUUGUUAAUUGCUCAGGUGAUAUAUGCUGUAUUUCUAGUCACUAGUGUUGUAUUGUUUGUGCUUGUGCUAAGAUGAUCUCUUUUGCACUUGUAACAGGGGCUCAUUCAAGUACUCUACUGAUCGAAAAUGGAUGGCGUCUGUGAUGGUUCAUUCUUUUGCACGUCUUCUACACGGGUACAUUGACGGUUGAUGGAGAUGGAUGGUGGUGUAGCUGUUUUGUUUAGCAAUUAGCACUCUAGGUGUUGGACCACUGUUUUGUUAAUGGAUGCUAUGUAACAGUAGUAUGUAACUAAUGUGAACUUGUUUAGGUUGCUGUGAAACUGUUAUACAACACAUUGUUAUGGGGUUGUUACACAGCUGAUAUGUUAUGAACAUGAUAUGGAGAUAUCUUUUCCUUUUUGGUUUGGGUUUUACUGUUGUGCCAUUCGUCUCAUAAGUUAUGCCAUUUUAUUAUUUACUUUUGGAUUGAUAUAUAUUCGUCUCUGAAGCCUUCCUUCACUACAAUAUGUCUCUGUCAUCAACGUAUCCACUGGCUGAGACACGAAGCCGUGGAUAGCUUCCUUUAUGGCCGUGUCCACGCUUCCGCAUCUCAUAUUUUUUCUUAUCAAAAGAUGCAUCGACGUUCACCAUCACUUUUCCCUCAGGAGGUUUCUAUCAUCCGUGCUGUAUUUUUGUUUCUUUGUUCCUUGUUUGUUGCUAGCUUGGAGUAAUUUCUUUGUAGAGCUGGAGCUCCCCAGCAAUGUCCUUAAUAUUAACGGCCUCUUUAAUCUGAAAACGGAAAAAUAAAGAAGAGAGAAACGGGAGAAGAAGAAAGAAAGGAUGGAGAGCAAGUGGGUCCUGUGGCAUGGAGGAACAUGGAGCACAGAAAAGAGUAGUAAUAUAAUGUGAUGGAACGGCCGGAAUUGAGAUGGUGCUCAUAAGAUACGGUGUCGUGGAGGGAAACCGUUCCACCCAUCUCAAUGACACCGUAUCUUAUGAGCAAGGAGCCCUGCUGCUCCCAUGAGCAAAAUCAAUCCAGACCACAUCCUCCACAUCCAACGGUGCUGCGUUAGGGGGGUUUUGUAAAAUGUACAGAGUUGCAAAGAACAUUUUACAAAACCCCCUGAUAUAGCACCGUUGGAUGUGGAGGGUGUGGUCUGGAUUGAUUUUGCUCAUGGGAGCACCAACGCUCUUUGCGCACAAGAUACGUUCUCUCCCUCCACAACCACUUGCUCCUCAUCUACUUUUCUCCUCCGCCUUCCACUCAUCCUUGCUCCUGCCUGCCGUCGUGCAUCAUCAUCUCCGGCCAGGGCCAGGGCAUUCGUCUCCGCCUCCGGUCCGGCCUCCUCCACACCGCGCCCCCCCCCCCCCCCAGACGCGUCGCUGCGUAGCUGCUGGCCGCCAUGGCCACCGUCAUGGCCGCGGCCGUCUAGUCCUUCCCGUCCUCCUCGGCCGUCGUCGCCAAGGCGUCGCCGGCGUCCCCCUGUGCCGCCCCGCACUUCCGCCCGAGGGCCGUGCGGGCCGCUAUCCGGGCGCAGGCGUCCGCCGUCGAGGCGCCCGCCACGGCCAAGGCCAAGAAGGAGUCCAAGAAGCAGGAGGAGGGCGUCGUCACCAACCUAUACAAGCCCAAGGAGCCGUACGUCGGCAGGUGCCUCCUCAACACCAAGAUCACCGGCGACGACGCGCCGGGGGAGACGUGGCACAUGGUCUUCAGCACCGAAGGUAGGUACUGAGGUUAAAAAAAAAAUCUGAUUUUUGCUGCCUUGUUCGUUCGUUCAAUUGCUGUAUUCGUAUCGUAUGUAUAUACGCUGAUGGACGCACGUACGCAGGCCCUUCUUUGCCUGCGCGAGGUCUCAGAAUCCGGGGGGAAAAGAAAAGAAAAGAAAAGAUGAUGACUGUCUCUACCUCUUGCUACAUGUGCCGCUCCCUCGUCCGGGCUCCUCCGCUCAAGUCCAGGAGUGCAGUGCGCUGUCCAAGCGCCGCCCCGCCAGGUGCUAGCGGUGCCACCUCCACCUCCAAGGUAAACCCACACCUACUACCUGUGUGCUUCGUAAGGUCUAUCUACACCUAUAGGCUGCAGCCACCAGCACAGGAAUAUGUACUAGCCUGCUCGUUUCAGUUGGAACAGUAUUCUCCAGUUUUGGAUUGGAACAUGCAGCCACAGCCAAAAGUAGCUGAAGCGAUUGGAGUUGUAGCUUUUCGGGGAUAAUCAAAUGAUAGGAGAGUGGAGGUGGUAGAUCAUGUGUAAGCUUUAGACUACUGACUGAUUCACUUGUCUAUCCGGCGCUGGUUGCUUUCCCUGUGUGAAGCUUGUCCUAGAGGUGAAAGAACGGCUAGCAAGGGAGCACCCAGGCCUCCCCACGGGCAGGAACGGGAGGGACGAUGACGACAUGGUCCUCUGGUUCCUAAAGGACCGCAAGUUCUCCGUCGAUGAAGCCGUCUCCAAGCUCACCAAGGCGAUUGUAUCCUCUAAUUCACUCGCUUGUAGCAGUGAAGCUCACACCUAAUAUAUAGCUUCUUUACUGGCUCACUAAAUUCCUGGUAUGGUAACCGAGUUCAUAUAGCACUGCUAUCUUCAGUUUUCCUUUCAACUGCAUUAGAAAUGGCGUCAGGACUUUGGUGUUGCAGAGUUAUCAGAGGAAUCAGUGAAAAGCCUGUACCAAACUGGCAAGGCAUAUGUACAUGAUUCCUUGGACAUUUAUGGCCGACCUGUGCUGAUUGUAGUGGCAGCCAAACAUUUUCCUUCGGUGCGUUCCGUUUGUUUCCCAAUCUUGAUUUGGAAAUGCUCAACAGGAUAGUGGCUACACACUGUUUCCAGUUUUUUAGAAUAGUACACAUAACAAAGGCUGACAGUAUGCAGUGGAAAGUAUCAGUACUUCACACCUCAUAGCAGCUCUAAAAUUAAACUACAUGGCUUGGCUAGCUGACCUGUAACCUAUGGAUGUCUUAGUAUUCAACAUGCAUUUGUUCUUCAUAAUAAUGAUGAUCCAUGUAUAAUAUGCUACUGCAGACACAGGAUCCAGUUGGAAACCAGAAGUUGUGUGCCUAUUUGGUUGAGAAGGCAGUCAGCAGACUUCCGCCAGGAGUAGAGAAUAUACUUGGGAUCUUUGAUCUGCGAGGCUUUCGGGUUGAAAAUGGUGAUCUCCAGUUCCUAAAGUUUUUGGUGAGUUUGGUAGCUUCAAGGCAUGACUAAGCAUCUCUGAUUACCUUUUGUGUUGUUCGGUGGUAGACAGGCAUAUUUUUAUUUGUGACGAUAUGAAUGAAACAUUGUGUUUAUUUGUGACGAUAUGAAUGAAACAUUGCAAAAGGAGGGCAGUAAUGCCACAGUAAAAAAACUGGUAAUCAUUCAUGUAAGGUAUACAUCUGUUGAAAAAGUAAUUCCGGCUGAAUAAAAUAAGAAACUUUUUCCUGGAUAUGAAAACUCUGUUGAUGCAUGCCAAUUUAAAAAACAAAGAACGUGCAUGUUCAUGCUCCCAGAAGUCAGAAGGCGAAAAAGUUUAUCUAAUGAAUUAAUUCAAAUCACAUACGGAUGGAGUUCUAAUUCUUGUUCUAUGUUGCAACUAAUAUACAUAUAAACAUGAUUUUUUGGGGUAUAUGCAUCGCAAUUAAUGUCCCCUCCCAUUCCCAGAUGGACGUUUUUUACUAUUACUACCCGAAGCGGCUUGGCCAAGUUCUUUUUGUCGAUGCUCCUUUUGUUUUUCAACCAAUGUGGCAGGUUGUUAAACCUCUGUUGAAAUCAUAUGCCUCCCUGGUAUGCUCUCCCUCUCUCUUAGGUUAGCGCUUCAUCGAACGAUAUGGAUAACCUUACAGUCUACUGCUAUGUUGCCCCUGCUAGGUAAGAUUUUGUGAUGCCGAGACUGUGAGGAAGGAAUACUUCAAAGAAGAAAUCGUGCCUCCUGAUUUCCGCGAUUAGGUGACAUGAUUAUUUCUUCAGUAAUUGCAAGUCAGUUUUACCUCUGCCUUUGUGUAACGAUUGAAAUUCUAAAUUGUGCAGAUUACUUUUAGUUUUUCCAAUCUCUCCUAAAAGCUAUUUUGCAGAAAUGUGCAGGUGGUCUCGGAAACAUGGCCUUUAAUUUAUUGAGAAUCGAUUGGCACCCAGGGGGACUGGCGCCUUCCCAUACCUUUGGAUUAACCUCUCAAAAGUUGCUCAGACGGCAGCAAAUGAUUGGAGAGUCCAGUAAAAAAUGACCCAGUACUUGUAUAACUAGUGCGAAGUAGAAUGCUGAGUUUAGGCUGCUGUCUUGAGUGCUCCUAUACCAUAUUUUUCUGGUUUUGGAUGAAGCUAUAUGGAUCAAAUUCAUCUCUGUUGAACAAUUGCCAAUUACAUAACUUGUGUUUGCCCAAUUCCAUGGUGUAGUACCAUAACUUCUCAGUGCAGUGCAGACAACACAUGGAUUCCAUUUUUUUAUUAAAGUACCAUCUGCUACAAAUAUGAAUCAUGGCUUUGUUUGUAGACUUCAUAAAGAAACACACAGAUUAAUCAAACCAGUCUUCGAAGAGUCUGCUAUGGAUAGGAACGUUC
This 5227-nucleotide long non-coding RNA is filed under the name Zea mays. Its description in RNAcentral is "long non-coding RNA (ZMAY_LNC005272)". The record is from RNAcentral. Lineage: Eukaryota; Viridiplantae; Streptophyta; Magnoliopsida; Poales; Poaceae.